This 468-nucleotide ribosomal RNA is filed under the name uncultured bacterium. Its description in RNAcentral is "partial 16S ribosomal RNA". It matches the Rfam family "Bacterial small subunit ribosomal RNA", at positions 28 to 507 of the family's 1533-position model. The record is from RNAcentral.
GACGAACGCUGGCGGCGUGCUUAACACAUGCAAGUCGAACGGAAAGGCCCUGCUUUUGUGGGGUGCUCGAGUGGCGAACGGGUGAGUAACACGUGAGUAACCUGCCCUUGACUUUGGGAUAACUUCAGGAAACUGGGGCUAAUACCGGAUAGGAGCUCCUGCUGCAUGGUGGGGGUUGGAAAGUUUCGGCGGUUGGGGAUGGACUCGCGGCUUAUCAGCUUGUUGGUGGGGUAGUGGCUUACCAAGGCUUGGACGGGUAGCCGGCCUGAGAGGGUGACCGGCCACAUUGGGACUGGGAUACGGCCCAGACUCCUACGGGAGGCAGCAGUGGGGAAUAUUGCACAAUGGGCGGAAGCCUGAUGCAGCAACGCCGCGUGCGGGAUGACGGCCUUCGGGUUGUAAACCGCGUUCGCCUGUGACGAAGCGUGAGUGACGGUAAUGGGUAAAGAAGCACCGGCUAACUACGUG